GGAAGGGUUAUGGCUCAGUGGUUGAGCACAUGCUUUGCAUGCAGAAGGUCUGAGGUUCAAUUCCCAGAAUCUCCA
This is a non-coding RNA of Podarcis lilfordi (Lilford's wall lizard), 75 nucleotides long. Lineage: Eukaryota; Metazoa; Chordata; Lepidosauria; Squamata; Lacertidae. The record is from the annotation of a GenBank genome assembly.